Molecule: transfer RNA, 72 nt
Filed under: Mesocricetus auratus (golden hamster)
Lineage: Eukaryota; Metazoa; Chordata; Mammalia; Rodentia; Cricetidae
Rfam family: tRNA
About the family: Transfer RNA (tRNA) molecules are approximately 80 nucleotides in length. Their secondary structure includes four short double-helical elements and three loops (D, anti-codon, and T loops).
Source: Rfam by way of RNAcentral
GGAGAGAUGGCUCAGGAGUAAGAGCACUGGCCGCUUCUCCAGAGGACCUGGGUUCAAUUCCCGGCAUCCUCA